GACGAACGCUGGCGGCGUGCCUAACACAUGCAAGUCGAGCGGAGUUAAUUGAAAGCUUGCUUUUGAUUAACUUAGCGGCGGACGGGUGAGUAACGCGUGGGCAACCUGCCUGUUACAGGGGGAUAACACAGGGAAACUUGUGCUAAUACCGCAUAAUACAACGAGAAAGCAUUUUCUUGUUGUCAAAGGAGCAAUCCGGUGACAGAUGGGCCCGCGUCCAAUUAGCUAGUUGGUGGUGUAACGGACCACCAAGGCGACGAUUGGUAGCCGAACUGAGAGGUUGGUCGGCCACAUUGGGACUGAGACACGGCCCAGACUCCUACGGGAGGCAGCAGUGGGGAAUAUUGCACAAUGGGGGAAACCCUGAUGCAGCAACGUCGCGUGAAGGAUGAAGGUUUUCGGAUUGUAAACUUCUUUAGUCAGGGACGAAUAAAUGACGGUACCUGAAGAAUAAGCCACGGCUAACUACGUGCCAGCCGCCGCAGUAA
RNAcentral lists this ribosomal RNA (488 nucleotides) under uncultured bacterium. RNAcentral describes it as "partial 16S ribosomal RNA". It matches the Rfam family "Bacterial small subunit ribosomal RNA", at positions 28 to 523 of the family's 1533-position model. The record is from RNAcentral.